Diospyros lotus (date-plum) is the source of this 1472-nucleotide RNA transcript. It is a transcript of the gene named NEDD8-specific protease 1, with no coding region annotated. The record is from RefSeq and is a predicted model, not a curated record. The transcript has 3 exons. Lineage: Eukaryota; Viridiplantae; Streptophyta; Magnoliopsida; Ericales; Ebenaceae.
CAGGAUAGUGUAAAAGUAGCCUGACCCGAUAUUAAACUCCCUAAAGAGCCCUUGCUCUUCCCCACUUCAUCCCCAACCCCUUUCAGCGAUCAAGAGAGAUCCGUCCUUCCGCCGCCGGCCACCGUCUUCUCUUCGCAGCAGGCCGCCACACCGCUUCCCUCCGCCGCUACAGCACCGUUCCGCCACCGCCGCUGCCGCACUGCUCCGCAACCGCAGCUGCCGCACCGCUCCACCACCGCUGCUGCAGGCACACACAUUGGCAUCUGGACAUGGGGAAAUCACCAGGAGAUGAGAAGAUUCUCACAUACAAUGAUGUGGUACUGAGACGAUCAGAUCUGGACAUUCUCAGUGGUCCAUAUUUUCUGAAUGAUCGCAUCAUUGAAUUUUAUUUCAGUUAUCUCUCUUCAUGUUAUCCUUCUGAGGACAUCUUACUGGUCCCCCCUUCCAUUGCUUUCUGGAUAACUAACUGCCCAGAUAUUGCGAGUCUUGGGGACUUCGUAGACCCCUUUAAUCUCCCCGGUAAGGAACUGGUAAUCUUUCCUGUCAACAAUAAUAACGACGUAACUCAGGCUGAAGGGGGGAGCCAUUGGAGCUUACUUGCUUUCAACAGGAACUCUAAAGUGUUUGUACAUCAUGAUAGCUAUGGAGGACUCAAUGCAGGGCAUGCCAAACGGCUUUACAAAGCUAUUUUUAGAUACAUGGGUAUUGCUGAUACAAUAUCAACUUGUGAAUAUCUCGAAUGCAACAGAACCCCACAACAAGUUAACGGCUAUGACUGUGGUUUAUAUGUUGCUGCUAUUACAAAAGCUAUAUGCAGCUGGUAUAAAAAUGGUGAACCGAAAGAUGAAGAUGGUUUAUGGUGUUCUGUGGUUAGUGACCAGGUUACUCCAUAUGCUGUUGGUGAGAUGCGCAAUGAAAUUUUGAUGCUAAUAAGAAGUUUAAUGCCCGUGAAGUAAAACUCUUAAAUUACUGGCUUUCUGGGAGUUGGAAGUCUUCUCUUAGCAGCGCAGGAAUUUUGCGUUUGAGGUUAGCUGCUUGUAAUUCACUCACACAUGGAUUCAUUCGUGUCAAAAGUUUGGCCCAAUGCUCCUUUACUGCUGCAUUUUGAAGGCAAAGACUACUAUCCAGUUUCUCCGUCUUGCUGGUUCGUCAUUAGAAAGGGAAGAAUCCUGCAUUUUGAAGGUCCUGAUGAAUACGUGUGGUAAUCAGUUUAGCAGAACUGGUUUUCGUGCUUUUCAACGAGGAAGAAUUCCUCGUCAGUGAAAUAUCCCUCAGGUUAAGAGAGCAUUGGAUGUGAGCCAGCCAGUUUUUGCUUUCUAUUUUUUUGACAAAAUAUGUUGGUUGAAUUAACCUAAUAAUUUUUGUUAUUUUUUUAAAGGACAAUAUUCCAUAUACAAAGGGGUAGUCUGAUUUGUUCAGUCGCGGCACCAGAAAGACACAUGGCUUAUAAUUCAAUGUACGGGUAGAUCUGC